GGAUUAGAUACCCUGGUAGUCCACGCCGUAAACGAUGAUAACUAGAUGUCAGGGUCGUAAAGGCUUUGGUAUCGAAGCUAACGCGAUAAGUUAUCCGCCUGGGGAGUACGGCCGCAAGGUUGAAACUCAAAGGAAUUGACGGGGGCCCGCACAAGCGGUGGAGCAUGUGGUUUAAUUCGAUGCAACGCGAAGAACCUUACCUACCCUUGAAUCCACAGAACCUGCAGGAGACUGCGGGGUGCCUUCGGGAGCUGUGAGACAGGUGCUGCAUGGCUGUCGUCAGCUCGUGUUG
RNAcentral lists this ribosomal RNA (292 nucleotides) under uncultured bacterium. Its description in RNAcentral is "partial 16S ribosomal RNA". It matches the Rfam family "Bacterial small subunit ribosomal RNA", at positions 775 to 1067 of the family's 1533-position model. The record is from RNAcentral.